AACGCACGAGACCUGCGGACCUGCGGAGGGAUCAUUACCGAAUAAGCAGGGGGGGGGGGCCUGUGCCGUUCGUUGAACGUGCACGGCCUGCCUCUCUCUCCUUCUCUCACACACACCCGUGCACGGAAGGGGAAGGGGGGUUUCCUCCUCCUUCCCCCCAUAAAAGAAAACGCCUUUUUGAAACUGAGAGCCACAAACGUGUGCAACCUUUGACAACUUUCAACAAUGGAUCUCUAGAUC
Molecule: unclassified non-coding RNA, 240 nt
Filed under: soil metagenome
Description: partial contains 5.8S ribosomal RNA, internal transcribed spacer 2, and large subunit ribosomal RNA
Source: RNAcentral